GGCUACCUACGGGGGGCAGCAGUGGGGGAUAUUGGACAAUGGGGGGAACCCUGCUCCAGCGCCGCCGCGUGAGUGAAGAAGUAUCUCGGUAUGUAAAGCUCUAUCAGCGGGGAAGAAAGAAAUGACGGUACCUGAGUAAGAAGCCCCGGCUAACUACGUGCCAGCCGCCGCGGUAAUACGUAGGGGGCAAGCGUUAUCCGGAAUUACUGGGUGUAAAGGGAGCGUAGACGGUGAAGUAAGUCUGGAGUGAAAGGCGGGGGCCCAACCCCC
This 270-nucleotide ribosomal RNA is filed under the name uncultured bacterium. RNAcentral's name for it is "partial 16S ribosomal RNA". It matches the Rfam family "Bacterial small subunit ribosomal RNA", at positions 333 to 617 of the family's 1533-position model. The record is from RNAcentral.